This 253-nucleotide ribosomal RNA is filed under the name uncultured bacterium. Its description in RNAcentral is "partial 16S ribosomal RNA". It matches the Rfam family "Bacterial small subunit ribosomal RNA", at positions 524 to 776 of the family's 1533-position model. The record is from RNAcentral.
UACAGAGGUCCCAAGCGUUGUUCGGAUUCACUGGGCGUAAAGGGUGCGCAGGUGGGUUUGCAAGUUCGAUGUGAAAGCCCCGGGCUUAACCCGGGAAUGGCAUUGGAUACUGCAGAUCUGGAGGAUCGGAGGGGGGACUGGAAUUCUUGGUGUAGCAGUGAAAUGCGUAGAUAUCAAGAGGAACACCAGUGGCGAAGGCGGCUUCUUGGGCCAUUACUGACGCUGAGGCGCGAAAGCCAGGGGAGCGAACGGG